UACGUAGGGUGCAAGCGUUGUCCGGAAUUAUUGGGCGUAAAGAGCUCGUAGGCGGUCUGUCGCGUCGGCUGUGAAAUCCCGGAGCUCAACUCCGGGUCUGCAGUCGAUACGGGCAAACUGGAGUACUGCAGGGGAGACUGGAAUUCCUGGUGUAGCGGUGAAAUGCGCAGAUAUCAGGAGGAACACCGGUGGCGAAGGUGGGUCUCUGGGCAGUAACUGACGCUGAGGAGCGAAAGCGUGGGGAGCGAACAGG
Molecule: ribosomal RNA, 253 nt
Filed under: uncultured bacterium
Lineage: Bacteria
Description: partial 16S ribosomal RNA
Rfam family: Bacterial small subunit ribosomal RNA
Source: RNAcentral